UCUGUCGCCCCGUUUUUUUGACAUAGGAAGUAGCUUAUUGGCUGAGUUCGGACGCUUAAGAAUGCCCUAAGAACUUUUCUUAAUAAGAUCUGAGGAUUCAUUUUGGGACCAGUUCUUUGAACCAGAGUAAAAAGUGUAUUUGUCUGCAGUUAUUGCUUACUCUCAAGUCCUUCUUUUGAAAACAUCCAUCCCCACCACCAAUCUACCAGUUCAAAGAUAUUCUUCAAGGUUAAAAAAAAAGGUUUAUGCAGCGUUCAAGAAGUAUGAUAGAAACUAUAUUCCAACAAAGUACAUUUGUCUUAGCAUGUAAUUUACCCCUGCAUCCAUAACAUUGUUCUAUAGUAAAUAUUUGGUAAAUAAAGUGAUUUAAUCCUACUCAAGAUUUCCAGCCUUCUCUCCUGUAUAAAAAUUGUGCUUGUCCAGUUCUAAAGAAAGUUACUGCACCCCUACGACAAUCUCCUCAGGCAAAAUUAAUGUUUUCUUUCUGCCUUUGCCUCUGCUAAUGUUGUGCCAAAACAUGUCCAACAUUAUCUGACAGUCAUUUUCCACAAACUUGCCAAACACCUCUCAUAACUUAGCUUUUUCCUCAGUAACUACCACAUCAUUCCUGUACAGCUGCAAUAUCUCAACCAAAUGUAGAAUGUCACUAGCAAGAAAUUGCCUCCUUUGUGACUUAUGCAGCAUCCCUAGAGUUUCCCCCACAACAAGCACCAGCUAGAUUGUGGUCACUACUCUUGACAACCACUUAAACAAGAAGAUCCAUUCAUAUUUCAUAUGUCUAGACUCCCCUCAGUACAAGUGAAGUUUUUCAUAGUUGGUUACUUUCCCCACACAGGUGUUUUUUUUCCCCACUGAAGCAUCUGCUUGGUAUCUCCCUGUUUAACGUUGCUGCAUACUAUAUUCGAGCCUUCCAGAUCUUGCAAGAAAAUUCCUGACUACUGAAAGUAACUACUUCUAUAUGCCAAGAACAUGCAGCCAUUAGUACGUACAGAGUAGUAGCAUAAGCACCCAGAGAUUGAUCUUUGGUCCAUUGUGUUCCCAUACUAAAUAUACAUAGGACCUCACAGUGUUAAAGUUGCCCUGUGACUAACAGAAUAGUCCAGUAACAAUUCAUUGCCUGAAUUAUGAUCAGAGAGGUAAUUCCUCCCUUAUCAUUUAACAUGUUAACUCUGAACUUUCAGAGUAUGAGUCGGUAUGCUAAAUUCUAAGAAAUCUCAAAAAUGUGAGUACUUUUGGUUCAUAGCCUGGAGCAACAGUAGAGGUUUUCUCUGUGAAACUCACAGUCAGAUUGUGGUGAACCUCUUUGUCUACCAGAGAAAACUUUUAACUGUACAGUUCCCAGACAGAAAUUAAUGUCCCCAUUUACAGCAUGAGUCACAAGGAGUGUCAUUAGGGAAGGACAGAGAAAAGCGUUGUAUUGAGAAGAGUGGUGUGAAAGCUAAUUCUCUAUGUGGAGAAGACUGACUUUAUGUAAGUGAUACUUUACCACCUCUCACACAAACUUUGGCUGCUUUCCUGUCAGUUAAGUAACAUGCCAUAUUCCAAAAUGCGGCUUCCACUGCCAGAGUAUAGGCUAUUCAAAUCCCACUUGCUCAUGGCUGACACCUAGCUGGGCAGCUUACCAUUCCCCACUGUUUAUUCUGUAGGUAGUAAGUUGAUAUGGUGGCUCCAAACUUCUGCUUUUGUUUUUGCCUGGCCACAUCACAUGGGUGUCCGAGCCAUCAGUUAUGCACAGAAGAUCGCCAAACCUAGGUCAGAUUUCAGAAGUGCAUCAUUGUUUCCCUGCUCUGAACAAGAUUUUCAUUCUAGCUAGAACUUUAAUGGGAUUUAAGUUUGCUUUGUUUUUGCUACCUAGACUUGUGUAUUAAGGAUAGCUGUACCUAGAAUACAGUACAGUUAACAAAAUUUUUUUAAAUGAAUGUUUAAAGCUUAUCUUUCAUGAACAUUAGUCAUUUUUGUAACAUUUCUUCCACAUUAUGUUACUUUUCAGUACUCAUUUUCAUUGAAACUUGCUUUCAUGUGUGAAAGGUGUUUUUUCGUUGUAUUUUGAAUUUGAGGCUGAGAAGUGAAUCUGUGCAUUUCUCUAUGGAUUAAGUGGAAAUAUGUGCUAUGCUGACUUUUUUAACUAGCCCUUCGAUGUUUAGAAUCUCUUUUAUUUACUUUGGCCAAUAAUGUAGCAUUAUUGUUACCAUCCAUUCACCCUUUCAGUUCAAACAUUACUUCACCAAUAGGUGAAGCAGUCAGAAAUAUGAAAGUGUGUGGUAUAAUGUCACUUACAGAUCUGGAAUAUAGAGUGCCCUGCUUAAGGCACUUUUUACAGUUCUCCUGUUUUCAGAAGAGGCAAUAACAGAUAAGUGGGGAACUGUAUCCCCCAAGCCAACAAACCCUCCCCUCUUUCUGGCUCUUGAUUUCUUUUCCUUAGACCUCUUUCCAAACACAAAAAGUAUUCAAAGAGGGACUGUUUGUAUUGCUUUUGCUGUUUAUAACUUGUGGAAAAUAAAAACUGCAUCAAGAUACUAUUUUUAUUUCAGGUUGCUUGUAUUACAAGCUCAGUCUUGUAAACCUUGUUGGGCUACCAUGGUGCAGGGUACUACUUUUCCAACACAGGAUGUAAGUUUCAGAUCACUUAGAACAUUCCUGGAGUCGCACAGAGAAUUGUUGUGUCCUCCACCCUUUAGUACUAACCUGACCCUGCCCAGGUGCAUACAGUUCUUUUAAAUACCGAGGCACAAACCUGCUCAUCUGGGAUAUGGCUCUUUCUGGGAACCUUCUCUAUUACUUUUAAUUUGUGCUGACAGAAAGUGAAAAAUUUCUGGUCCAUUUGGCAGAAGAUCAACUGCCUUUAAAUUACCAACUGCAGCUUCUAGGGUGACAUUUUGGCUUGGUUAAGAGGCUUGUGCUGCUGGCUGAUGAGUGCAUGAACACUUUUAAUUUGUGAUAGUAAGUUUAGUUCAUUGUACUUUAUUGUCCAGCCAUGCCUGAACUUUCAUUCAAUAAGCUCAGAUUAAACCUAUAACACUGAAAUAGCAUCCUGUGUGCUUGCUGCAUUCACUACUGGUGAUCAGUGGCCCUACUACAUAUCCACUUGCCCCUCCUUUAUAAGCCCAUAAGAAUCUCAGUGGGUUCAUGUGAAAGUGGUACCAUGAUUGGAAUAAUUCCAUAGUUUGCUGCCACCUUCAUAAUAUCUGUGUUUUUUUAACUAAACGGGCAGAAUUCAUUCAUGUUACCACUCUUUUGUGUUUUGACCUAGGUACCACCCAAAUGGUCAUAUGAAUUUGGUGGAACCACCAUCAUCACGUGAGGGUAAACUCCAGCUGGGUCCACGUGCCCAUAUGUUUAUGUUUCUCAUAUUAAUAAGUCACGCUUAAAACACAGAGUAAACAGCCAGUACAUUGUCCUUGCCUUCAGGAAUCAGUUGCUCUGUUUUGUCACCCUAACAGCUAAUAUUUCUUACUGGUUUAGAUACCUUUUUAUAUUCACAAUUUUAUUUAUCGUUUUUUCCUAGACCGGUGCCAUCUUGAGAGGGAGUAAAAAAACUACCAACUUUGACACAGGCAAAACAGUGUUCACAUUCUUUUAGAAAUAUCCAGUCACUAUAAAACAUGCCAACUCUAUUAAGCAGAACACUAAAAAACUGCAUAGGAGCAUAGGUACAUCAUGUUUCUGACUAACCCUUUCUGCUAACUUUUCAAGUCAUCUUGCUGCCACUUCAGAGGUGCUAGUAGCUCUUGCACAAGAACAUUAUACCAUAUCUCAGAUAGGCAAUAAAUAAAGUUUUUCAGCAAGUCUGACUCCAGCUUAAGAUAGUAACUUUUCUUUCCUUCAGCUAUAUCCUCUAGCAGGACAGUACAUCUUAAGCUUAAUGCACUUUUGAGGCAGACAGGCAGAGUGAAAGAGCACCAUGAAUGCACCAUUUCUUAGGUAUGAGGCCCCUGCAUUUUUUCACAUCAGUAUAAUACAAAAAUAAAAGUAAGAAAAACACCAACAGAUUCUACCAGCUUUGCUGUUUGCAAAAGUCGGGUACCCUUCAGCCAUCAUCUCAUUACGAUUUUUUAGUGUAAUUUUAGUGUUUGUAGUGUUUUUCCUCCCAGAUCCUCAAAGAUGAGUGUGUCAGGUGUAUUAAUAAUACUAAGUUGGCCCACUGUGAAUGUGAGUGUUUGUCCUGAAAUACACUGACAUUUUUUCUAGUGCUUGUUCCCCCUCUUGCAUCCAGUAGUGUUGAAAUAGGCUCCAGUACUGAGAAGUUGGAUUAAUUGAAUUUGACAAUGUUAUGUAAAACUUAAGGAAGGGAAGAAUAAAUAAAGGGAAGAAAUUAAGUUUAAAAGAACAAAUAAGCAAAUAAACUCCAGCCUCUACAAGCAAGAAAUCCUGGGACACAUAAUUGCCUUCUCUAAUAUAAAAAAAAAUACUCUCUUGUUACCUCAAAUCUUUCUUUCAUUAUCCAGGUAUCUUGCCAGUAAGUCUGUUCCUCAACCUCUUUUUUAAACUCUUCUGUCUGGUCUGAUGUGACUUUAAAUAUUAUUUGACUCUCACUUCCAAACCUAGCACUGUAAAGACUAGAGGCGCUCCCACUAGUGAACAUAUAGUAUAUCCCUAUGUGCCAUGUGCCCCUUUAAGAUUCCCUGUCUUAAACACAAAUCUACUCCGCUCAGUCAGUGACAGUGUUCUUACACAUAACUGGUCACAGAGGGCCACCUUCCUUACUUUCAAAAUGACAACAUGGUCCCUCUUUCCUAGUUAGAGAUCUUGGGCCUCAUGUAUAACACAGUGCAAAGAAUUCACACAAAAAUAUGGUGUAUGGACAAAACUGGAAAUGUGCGUACGCACAAAAAAAAUCUAGAUGCAUAAAACUGUACAGCAAGUUCCACGCUCUUCACCUUUAUAAAUCCCAAUGAACGUGAAAUUUAACGUACGUACAUGUGCAUACAGCCCCACCCUAACUCUUCCCAGAUUUUCACAAAUUUGAAUAUGUAAAUUACAACGUAAUAUAAUUAUUACCUUUAGUUCUUUGUUUUGUUAAAAGACAAUGGUAAAGCACUUAUAAAAAAAGAAGAAUUCCACUGAAUGCGAAGUGGAGGUCCUACUCAGUGAAGUGGAGGCAAGAAAAAACAUACUUUUUGGUGGCUUAGGCAGUGGUAUGAGCAACAAAAGGAAACUGAUUUAGUGAUACUCAAAAGUUGAAGUUCAGAAAGUCACACAGUGCCAAAAUAAAAAAAAAGUGGCCAGAUGUCAAAGUCGAGGUGAAAUGAUGAGUUGUAGCCCACUGUCUGAGUGUCAUACGGAAGCGAAGAAAAGAAAAAAAAUAGGGACACAGUGAAGAAAAAAAGGUCAAAAUGUAGACUUUAAUCUCAAAAUUUCCAUUUUAAUCUCGUAGUUUAUUUUGUCAUUAAAGUAGAAAAUCGUAAACUUCAUCUUAAAAUCAAUGUUUAAUUUACAAGAGUUUUUCAAAUCCCACCGUAACUAAAGUAGCAAAUUAAAUGCUUUGUAUUUUAUGUGUUCUACGUGUGUGAAUCACUACAUGCUUCUUAAAUGGGCUUAAUCUUUCAUAGACAGAAACGCUCAGGCUGUGAUCACCACACAGUAUACAUUACAUUCAUGAUAUUACAGCUCUCUGAAUAUUUUGGAAUACUAAGAUGUAUAUUUGAUAUAAUUUUCAUGAUGAGAUGCGUGGGGGUACUGUGGCACAAUGGUAGCAUCCAGGGAUUGUUCUUGCCUCCCACAUCUAGGAAUUGUUUCAGCCUCCUGCAAGAUGCUUGCUGGGAUGCGCGCAACCCUGAAUGGAAUAAUUUACUGCAGCAGUACUGUCUCUGUCAAGUGUACCAACCCCAAAUUCCUGUCCUUCCAUUUUCUGUUUUCUUUCUCCAUGUAGCCAAUCACCACACAGUGAGCUCUGUAAUAAAUGUAAAACCUGCUGUAAGCUUUGAACGCAUAUUCUUCAAAACUUUUAUGGAACAUUGAAAAAUCUUCAUUAUACAUGUUUAAUUAUAUGUGUGCUUAUAGCUCUUGGGAUGAAACUGUUUUUGAGCCUUGAAGUACAUGCAGGAAAGUCUGUGAAGUGUUUGCUGGGUGGGAGAAGUUCAAAUGGACUGUGGCAUGACUGAGUGGAAUCCAUGCAGAUGCUGGUGGCUUUCCGUAGGAAGCGUGUGCUAUAAAAGUCCUCCAGGGCUGGAAGCUGUAUUCUGAUUAUCCUCUGCACUCUCUACACAACACGCUGUAGUGCUCAGAUGCAAUGGGUUAAAAUACUCUUGAGAGUCACACACGUGCACUUAGGAGGCAGCCAACAAGCCCUAAGGUGAGUGAUACUAAAAGGGAUAAAGGGUUGAUUGAACGUACUAAUGCCUCUUUCUCUUCAUCAACAGAACAUUAGAAGAUAAACAAUAACUAACCUUCCAUAUUUCCGGUCACUCAAAAUGGCUUCCACUCAAUAAUCCCGGCUCCGUAAUCCAGCGAUGAUGUCACCUCUGGUUCUCCCAAGAUAAUGUCACUUUUGGCUCCUCUUUAUGACGUCACUUCCUGGGUCCCUCCAUGAUGACACCACUUCCGGCUCGCCGAGAUGACGUCACUUCCAGCGCGAUCAUAAUAAUGUCACGUCCUGUCCUCAAUAAUGAUGUCAUUUCCGUCUAUCUGCUUGUGAUGUCAUUUCCUGUCAACCUCAUUUCCUUCCACCAUUUUGUAUAAAAACCCAAUGUAUUCAAACCUCAUCGGUCAAAUGUUCUUAGUUUUGAUCCUUUUUUGCCAUUUUUUCAAUUCUUUUGUCCUAGGACGUUAUACAGGGUCAGUCCCCAAAUCUUUGCGAGACUUUGUUAGUCUUUAUUUUAUCACCCUAUAUAUAUAUACUGUAUAUAUAUAUAUAUAUACAUACAUAUAUAUAUAUAAUCCAAUGUCUGUCUAUCUGUAUGUAUGUAUGUCAGUCUGCUUUUCAUGAGAGAACUACUCAACGGAUUUAGAUUUGCUUGAACGUUCUGGUUGAUUUUGCGACUUCUCUAAUCAUGCUAAGUAUCGUAAUUCGCUUGCGGUACCAAUUUAUUUACGCAAAUCUGAGAAAGAGACUGCAGGGCAAGAGGAGGGGUGCGGGCCCUCCUCACUCAAGCGCCAGCCUCCGUUCGAGUCGGUCUAAUUCCACUGGUCUACAAAAAAUAUUUUUUGUUUGCUUCUGGGAACUUCAGAGCAUCUUUUUAUUCAGUUUAUUAUGCUAAUUUCAUAUAUGAAAUCGGAAUUAAGCUAGCAUGUCAGGUUUUUGAAAUACACAUCAUUGACGUUUUGACACUUUUGAAUAUCAAUAUAAUAUAUCAACACGAUAUUUGGAGAUUGGACUAUGUCCCACCAAAAUUGUUUUGAUGUGUUUAUUCUGAAAACAAACCAGAAGACGAUACCAGAGACACAUUAAUGUCAAUUUACCUCAAUAUAAAAGUGAUGUCUGCAUACCCACAAAUGUUGGAGCCACUCGCUUUUGCGCUUGUACUGCACAUCCGUCUCUCUUUGCAAGAACCAACAGUAGUCACCCAUCAUGCUCUGAGUGAAUGUUUCCUGAUAUCACUUUUCCAUCACCUUUAUAUCUUGAUGAAAUCUUUCCCCAUGCUUAUCUCUGACAUUGCUUAGAUUGGGUGGAAAAAAGUCAAGAUGAGAAUGUAAAAAAUGCAUCUUCAGUGACAUUCUGGCUCCCGUAAGCUAAUAUACUUUCAGCAUAUUCUCCACAAUCUCAGUAUAAUUCUUUGCUCUGUGACUGUCAAGAAAAUUCUGGACAACCUACAUGAAUGAGGGUGCUGAUUCAGUUGGCUUCAGUUUCCUUUUGAACUCAUUGUCAAGCAUCAGUUCACGUAUUUCAGGGCCAACAAAAACACCUUCCUUAAUUUUGGCUUCAUUUUUCUCGAGACCAAACUUAUUUCUUAAAUGCUGAAACACAUCACCUUUACCGUCCGGAUACCCUAGUUGUCCAAAACCUGGAACAUCAUAACUAAAAAAUGGGAUGUGCUGGACGAAAACGGUUUUCAGAUUUGGAGUCAGCAAGUGAAAUUGGUUAAAGUACAGAUGAAAGAAUCCCAGUAGCAAAAUGCUUGUUGACCAGUGAUUCUCGCCACGUGUUGGAGUGUACCUUGCCUCCACAUAGUUAGCGAUACCUGUUUGUUCAACAGACAUUAUCAUCUACAGAUUGUUAAGGAGUAACGUUUGACGUUUUUCAGCGAGAGAUCAGAGCUACAUGUGUUUUAGAGUGUAACUGCUGAUUGCCAGAGAUAUCACGGCCACAUGCUUUUCUCUUCAUGUGGAGGAUGCUCUCCCAUCAGAGCUGAACAUGAUCAGAUACAUUGCCAACAUUUGGUGUUGGAGCGUACCUGCCUUCUGCUUGGCCAGAAUUAAAUUUUUUUUUAAUGAUUUUUAAAGUUUGUCCUGUUUCACUACUAUGUGGGUGGAGCUGUGUAAUGUAUUGGAAUACCUGCUAAUGGUAAUGAAUGAGAAAUCAAAGAGCAUUUUCAGGUCACUUUGAUAGUAAGCAUUUUAGGAAAACAACAUAAAUUGAAAAAAUGUAAGGAACAUACAAUAAAAUCUUCAGACCCUCUUAACUCAAAUACGUUUCUUGGGAAGGCUAGAGCCUGUUCCAGCAGAAUUAGACACAAAGCAGAAAAGAUCCCUGGACAGGACACCACUCCAUUGCAGGUGCAAUCAUGCACACAUCCACACUCACGCUCACACAUGGGUCAAUUUAGCCUCAGCAAAUUAAUCUAAGACAUGGGUUCCCAAAAUUUUUUAAGCCAAGGACCCCCAAAAUAUUGUACCAUCUGGUCAGGGCCCCACUAUGAUACCUUGUGUCAUUAAUAGAGUGAAACUGGAUUCAGUUGAGCAAGGUAAUGGAGCUGAUUAGCAUAUAACCCCAUGUGCCGGUUGGAUUGACAGUGUAGCGAGUUCUAAUUAGCUAAACCAUUUAAGGGCAGGCUGAGUGUAGUGUGGAGAGAGGGAGAUAGGAAGAUGUGAGUGUUUGAAAGAAGAAGUGAGAGUAUGAAGAGUGAGAUGUUAGAGAACCACAGAGAGACAGAGUGCAGGUGGAAAAGCCUUAAUGUGUUUUUGGUGGCCAGAGCUAUUGAGCGCUAAAUAAGGAGCAGUAAAGGCUAGAAGGCUUGGGGAAGGAAAGUGUCUGGGUCUGGGGGAGAUGUCAUGAGCAUUGCUGUAUGCAAAGCCGAAUUAGAGUGGGGUGAAACUAGAGUAGUCACACUGUGUGUAUGCUAAUGAUAACUCUGAUGUGUGCAAGUUGUCGGAGCGACUGUGUUUUGUGCUAGUUGCUGUUUCCCUGGAUGAACAAUGUCAUUUUUUUUUGCACUGACUAUAAAGAAGAUUUCUUUGUGGGGCAAUUCUGUUUUAACCUGUGUAUGUAAUUUUAAUGAAUAUUAUAUAUGAAUUUUUAAAGAAAUACUGUAUUUAUUAUUACACUGUUCAUUUGCAUAAAGACUGUGAAUAUAAUAAAUAUGCACUCUGAACUUUUUGUACUGUAAA
Long non-coding RNA from Erpetoichthys calabaricus (reedfish), 9483 nucleotides. RefSeq lists it as uncharacterized. NCBI's taxonomy places the organism in Eukaryota, Metazoa, Chordata, Cladistia, Polypteriformes, Polypteridae. The record is from RefSeq and is a predicted model, not a curated record. The transcript has 2 exons.